Molecule: ribosomal RNA, 484 nt
Filed under: uncultured bacterium
Lineage: Bacteria
Description: bacterial SSU rRNA
Rfam family: Bacterial small subunit ribosomal RNA
Source: RNAcentral
AUUGAACGCUGGCGGCAUGCCUAACACAUGCAAGUCGAACGGAGAUAGGGGUAACCUUAUUUCAGUGGCGGACGGGUGAGGAAUGCGUCGGAAUCUGCCCUAUGGUGGGGGAUAACACAGGGAAACUUGUGCUAAUACCGCAUAAUGUCGAGAGACCAAAGCAGGGGACCGCAAGGCCUUGCGCGAUAGGAUGAGCCGACGCCCGAUUAGCUUGUUGGUAGGGUAAUGGCCUACCAAGGCGACGAUCGGUAGCUGGUCUGAGAGGAUGAUCAGCCACACUGGGACUGAGACACGGCCCAGACUCCUACGGGAGGCAGCAGUGGGGAAUAUUGGACAAUGGGCGCAAGCCUGAUCCAGCAAUGCCGCGUGUGUGAAGAAGGCCUGCGGGUUGUAAAGCUCUGUCAGGGUGGAAAAAUGGCAAGUGGUCUAAUAGGCCGCUUGAUUGAUGGUACACCCAAAGGAAGCACCGGCUAACUUCGUGCCA